CUAAAUUUAGGGUGUUUUUAUUAAAUAAUGAGUAUAUUUACUAAUUAAAUUAAAUUGCUUUGAUUUUUAUACUUAUAUUAAACUAGAGGGAAAUGAAUUGUAGUAAUUAAUUUUGCUUAUUUAUGAAUUGUAGGAAGCAGCAAUAGUUUAUAAUUCUAACAAAUUUUUGUGCCAGCAGUUGCGGUUAUACAAGAAGAGUAAUUUAAUUUUAUUGGUUUGUAGUUAAGUUUUUAGUUAUUAAUAAAUUUAUAUUGAGAGGUGAAAUUUUAUUAUAAAAAUUAAAUUAAUAAAUUAAUUGAUCUAAAAAAGUUUUAUUUUAAACCAGGAUUAGAUACCCUGUUAUUAAAACUGUAGUUUUAAACACCGAAUUAGUAUUAGUUAAGAGCUUGAAAAUUAAUUAUCUUGGCGGUAUUUUAACCUAUCAGAGGAACCUACCCUGUAAUUGAUAGUCCACAAUUUAUUUUACUUUUAAAUAGGCUUGUAUAUCGUUGUUGUAAUGAAUAUUUCUUAAGAAAUUUAAUUUUCUUUAUAUAAAAUUUUAUAUUAGAUCAAAUCAAGGUGCAGCUUUUAGAAGAAGAGGUGGGUUAUAUUUAUAAAUUUAAUGUUGAAAAUUUUAUUUUUUUAAGAUUUGAUAGUAAUUAUAUUAUUAAAGUAUACUGAAUUAGGCUCUAGAAUAUGUACAUAUCGCCCGUCGCUUUCAUAAAAUUAAUAUGAAAUAAGUCGUAACAUAGUAGAUUUAUCGGAAGAUGAAUCUAGAAUGGC
Molecule: non-coding RNA, 762 nt
Filed under: Cryptocephalus moraei
Lineage: Eukaryota; Metazoa; Arthropoda; Insecta; Coleoptera; Chrysomelidae
Source: RNAcentral